UUUUUUUUUUUUUUUUUGGCUUUCCCUGCAUUCCACGCCUUGAAGAAUCUGCUAAUCCCAAUCGUCGAUUGCUGAAAUUCACGUUCCCAUGCUUGCAUUCCUUGCACCAAACGGAGUUUCAUUCGCUGGGAAAAUCAUAUCCGGAAUGGAAUUCCACUUCAAUGCGCUUCUAAUUUUCAGGCUUUUCUUCUUCUUCUUUAAACAAAGUUUGUCCUUUAUAUCAAUUGGACAAGGAGGCUUUGGUUCUUUGAGAGAGCUCAAAGACGAAGGAUGUCUGCCAGAAACUGAUGUAAUGCUCAUGCAUCUCUGUUGUGGUGGCCGCCAAUUCAUGAAUGCCUGGUGGAACAAUCGUCACCAGUUCAUGAAGGGAUUCUGGCGGGAAUGUUUUCCUGGACUGUAAAGUCAAUAUACAAUUUUAUAUGGCCCUCAUGAAUACAGAUGCAGUGUCAACACAUUAAUACGCCCAUAUGGUGACCUUAUACUUGCAGUUGGAAGUUCCCUUUAGCCGAGAAUGGGCCCUCCAAAUUUUAAAUAAGAUCCAGAACCAACGAAGGGACACCCAUUGAAGGCCAAACGACUGCAAAAAGUGAGAACAGACCUCCCUUACCGAGGAGAAAAGCAGAAAUAGGUGGUCGACUGAGUAUGCGUCCUCCCAACAUAACAAAUUUUAGCAAGAGAGCUGCCUUUUCUGCAAAUUAUCCAUUAUGAGGAUUUUGUUCUACAUGAUCACCCAACCAAAAGCUUCCGCCUGCAGCCAGAGAGUCUCCCAACACUCUUGCCCAUGAGGGAACCCCCAUCUCCUCUAGUGAAAUGCCAGAAGAUAGAUUUCGGAGAAGAUACUCUUGGAAGAGCACCUUCAAAUAUUCUGAUCUAGCUUAUGCUCAUCCACCUUGACCUCAAUCGGACUGCUCAACAGCUUGAUGAGCAACAUGCUUUGUCAUACUUAAGAUUCUACUGGAAAGUUGAGACCGCCCUGUCCCCAUUUUGAUGUCCCCUUUACGAGUACUUUACCUGGUUGCUUUCUACAGGGCAAGUACUUGAGUGCUACUAUAUAAGUUUAUUCUUUGGCUUUGUACCUUGUACAUUCCCUUCUGUGCAUCUUAUUUUCUCUAGCUUUAUUCUCAGUGUUUAACUCUUCAGUAUUGCACAACAUUACUCCUUAAGUAGCUAUACAAUCUUGAGAGUAGUAAAGUUACAGUUCACUGAC
This is an RNA transcript of Magnolia sinica, 1207 nucleotides long. RefSeq lists it as uncharacterized. The transcript has 7 exons. Lineage: Eukaryota; Viridiplantae; Streptophyta; Magnoliopsida; Magnoliales; Magnoliaceae. The record is from RefSeq and is a predicted model, not a curated record.